UACGUAGGUGGCAAGCGUUGUCCGGAUUUAUUGGGUUUAAAGGGUGCGUAGGCGGUCUUUUAAGUCAGUGCUGAAAUACUCCAGCUUAACUGGAGGGGUGGCAUUGAUACUGGAAGACUUGAGUAUAGUUGAGGUAGGCGGAAUUCCUGGUGUAGCGGUGAAAUGCGCAGAUAUCUGGAGGAACACCGGUGGCGAAGGCGGCAUCCUGGACCGGCAUUGACGCUGAGGCGCGAAAGCCAGGGGAGCAAACGGG
Molecule: ribosomal RNA, 253 nt
Filed under: uncultured bacterium
Lineage: Bacteria
Description: partial 16S ribosomal RNA
Rfam family: Bacterial small subunit ribosomal RNA
Source: RNAcentral